RNAcentral lists this ribosomal RNA (297 nucleotides) under Triticum aestivum (bread wheat). Its description in RNAcentral is "partial small subunit ribosomal RNA". The record is from RNAcentral. Lineage: Eukaryota; Viridiplantae; Streptophyta; Magnoliopsida; Poales; Poaceae.
AUGCAGAUCAAGGUGUGUCCUUUCUCUCAUACAUGCCCAACUAAGCUGAGAAGUGAGAAGUUCAAGCCGGCUAAGAGUAGAUGGGUUGCUGAUGUUAUCCUAGAUUGGGUCAGAAAGAACCCAGACAUUGGCCCUACUGCUCUUCAAGAGAAGAUCGAGGAGAAGUAUCACUUCACGGUGCCGUACAUGCGUGUAUCUCGUGGUAAGGAGAAAGCAAUGGAUAUGAUUAGUGGAAAAUGGAAAGAUAGCUUUCAUCUUCUCUAUAGUUUCAAGGCUGAGGUGGAGAAGUGUUCUCCU